UAGGGAAUCUUCGGCAAUGGACGAAAGUCUGACCGAGCAACGCCGCGUGAGUGAAGAAGGUUUUCGGAUCGUAAAACUCUGUUGUUAGAGAAGAACAAGGACGUUAGUAACUGAACGUCCCCUGACGGUAUCUAACCAGAAAGCCACGGCUAACUACGUGCCAGCAGCCGCGGUAAUACGUAGGUGGCAAGCGUUGUCCGGAUUUAUUGGGCGUAAAGCGAGCGCAGGCGGUUUCUUAAGUCUGAUGUGAAAGCCCCCGGCUCAACCGGGGAGGGUCAUUGGAAACUGGGAGACUGGAGUGCAGAAGAGGAGAGUGGAAUUCCAGGUGUGGCGGUGAAAUGCGUAGAUAUAUGGAGGAACACCAGUGGCGAAGGCGGCUCUCUGGUCUGUAACUGACGCUGAGGCUCGAAAGCGUGGGGAGCAAACAGG
RNAcentral lists this ribosomal RNA (429 nucleotides) under Gemmatimonadota bacterium. RNAcentral describes it as "Gemmatimonadetes bacterium partial 16S ribosomal RNA". It matches the Rfam family "Bacterial small subunit ribosomal RNA", at positions 355 to 776 of the family's 1533-position model. Lineage: Bacteria; Pseudomonadati; Gemmatimonadota. The record is from RNAcentral.